This 72-nucleotide transfer RNA is filed under the name Troglonectes barbatus. RNAcentral describes it as "tRNA-Val". It matches the Rfam family "tRNA". From Rfam's summary of the family: Transfer RNA (tRNA) molecules are approximately 80 nucleotides in length. Lineage: Eukaryota; Metazoa; Chordata; Actinopteri; Cypriniformes; Nemacheilidae. The record is from RNAcentral.
CAGAGUAUGGCUGAGACAGCUAAGCAUCUCCCUUACACCGAGAAAACAUCCAUGCAAGUUGGAUUGCCCUGA